RNAcentral lists this ribosomal RNA (465 nucleotides) under uncultured bacterium. RNAcentral describes it as "partial 16S ribosomal RNA". It matches the Rfam family "Bacterial small subunit ribosomal RNA", at positions 338 to 795 of the family's 1533-position model. The record is from RNAcentral.
CCUACGGGAGGCAGCAGUGGGGAAUAUUGCGCAAUGGGCGAAAGCCUGACGCGGCGACGCCGCGUGAGGGAUGAAGGUCUUCGGAUCGUAAACCUCUGUCAGCAGGGAAGAACGGUCACUGUGCUAAUCAGCAGUGAAUUGACGGUACCUGCAAAGGAAGCACCGGCUAACUCCGUGCCAGCAGCCGCGGUAAUACGGAGGGUGCGAGCGUUAAUCGGAAUUACUGGGCGUAAAGCGCUCGUAGGCGGUAUGUCAAGUCAAGGGGGAAAUCCCCGCGCUCAACGUGGGAACUGCCUUUGAAACUGGCAAACUGGAGUGUGUGAGAGGAUAGUGGAAUUCCAGGUGUAGGGGUGAAAUCCGUAGAUAUCUGGAGGAACAUCAGUGGCGAAGGCGACUAUCUGGCACAUAACUGACGCUGAGGAGCGAAAGCGUGGGUAGCAAACAGGAUUAGAUACCCUGGUAGUC